This 661-nucleotide ribosomal RNA is filed under the name Enterobacter sp. PD12. Its description in RNAcentral is "bacterial SSU rRNA". It matches the Rfam family "Bacterial small subunit ribosomal RNA", at positions 32 to 681 of the family's 1533-position model. Lineage: Bacteria; Pseudomonadati; Pseudomonadota; Gammaproteobacteria; Enterobacterales; Enterobacteriaceae. The record is from RNAcentral.
AACGCUGGCCGGCAGGCCUAACUACAUGCAAGUCGCAGCGGUAGCACAGAGAGCUUGCUCUCGGGUGACGAGCGGCGGACGGGUGAGUAAUGUCUGGGAAACUGCCUGAUGGAGGGGGAUAACUACUGGAAACGGUAGCUAAUACCGCAUAACGUCGCAAGACCAAAGAGGGGGACCUUCGGGCCUCUUGCCAUCAGAUGUGCCCAGAUGGGAUUAGCUAGUAGGUGGGGUAACGGCUCACCUAGGCGACGAUCCCUAGCUGGUCUGAGAGGAUGACCAGCCACACUGGAACUGAGACACGGUCCAGACUCCUACGGGAGGCAGCAGUGGGGAAUAUUGCACAAUGGGCGCAAGCCUGAUGCAGCCAUGCCGCGUGUAUGAAGAAGGCCUUCGGGUUGUAAAGUACUUUCAGCGAGGAGGAAGGCAUUGUGGUUAAUAACCACAGUGAUUGACGUUACUCGCAGAAGAAGCACCGGCUAACUCCGUGCCAGCAGCCGCGGUAAUACGGAGGGUGCAAGCGUUAAUCGGAAUUACUGGGCGUAAAGCGCACGCAGGCGGUCUGUCAAGUCGGAUGUGAAAUCCCCGGGCUCAACCUGGGAACUGCAUUCGAAACUGGCAGGCUAGAGUCUUGUAGAGGGGGGUAGAAUUCCAGGUGUAGCGG